This 481-nucleotide ribosomal RNA is filed under the name uncultured bacterium. RNAcentral describes it as "partial 16S ribosomal RNA". It matches the Rfam family "Bacterial small subunit ribosomal RNA", at positions 30 to 507 of the family's 1533-position model. The record is from RNAcentral.
UUGAACGCUGGCGGCAUGCUUUACACCUGCAAGUCGAACGGUAACAGGCCGCAAGGUGCUGACGAGUGGCGAACGGGUGAGUAAUGCAUCGGAACGUGCCCAGUCGUGGGGGAUAACUACUCGAAAGAGUAGCUAAUACCGCAUACGAUCUAUGGAUGAAAGCGGGGGACCGUAAGGCCUCGCGCGAUUGGAGCGGCCGAUGUCAGAUUAGGUAGUUGGUGGGGUAAAGGCUCACCAAGCCAACGAUCUGUAGCUGGUCUGAGAGGACGACCAGCCACACUGGGACUGAGACACGGCCCAGACUCCUACGGGAGGCAGCAGUGGGGAAUUUUGGACAAAGGGCGCAAGCCUGAUCCAGCAAUGCCGCGUGCAGGAAGAAGGCCUUCGGGUUGUAAACUGCUUUUGUACGGAACGAAACGGCUCUGGUUAAUACCCGGGGCUAAUGACGGUACCGUAAGAAUAAGCACCGGCUAACUACGUG